This 580-nucleotide long non-coding RNA is filed under the name Salmo salar (Atlantic salmon). RNAcentral describes it as "lncRNA (ENSSSAG00000118303.1)". Lineage: Eukaryota; Metazoa; Chordata; Actinopteri; Salmoniformes; Salmonidae. The record is from RNAcentral.
GGGACAGUGAGACUGGAGAUGCGCGGUCACGAGACUACUCCAUUUUUUUCUUUCAGCCUUUGAAUGAAUACAACGUUGCCUGGUUGGAAUAUUAUCGCUAUUUUACGAGAAGAAUAGCAUAAAAAUUGAUUUUAAACAGCGUUUGACAUGCUUCUAAGUACGGUAAUGGAAUAUUUAGAAUUUUUUGUCACGAAAUGAGAUCGCGCAUCACCCUUCGGAUAGUGACCUGAACGCACGAACAAAACGGAGCUAUUUGAAUAUAACUAUGGAUUAUUUGGAACCAAAACAACAUUUGUUGUAGAAGUCCUGGGAGUGCAUUCUGACGAAGAACAUCAAAGCGUCUCCACUAAUGACAUCCUCCAUUGAUUGUCUUCCAGAGAGACAUCAGAGAUUGUAACAUCCUCUGUUUCACGGAAACAUGGCUCACUCGGGCUAUGUUAUCAGAGUCGGUACAGCCACCCGGUUUCUUCACGCAUCACGCCGACAGAAACAAACAUCUCUCUGGUGUGCUGGAGUCAGUGCAGAUCCCUACCAGCGGCAACUCAUUCAAUAACCAAGACCUCUACAAAUACUCAGUCCU